This 56-nucleotide microRNA precursor is filed under the name Caenorhabditis elegans. Its description in RNAcentral is "microRNA cel-mir-4927 precursor". The record is from miRBase by way of RNAcentral. Lineage: Eukaryota; Metazoa; Nematoda; Chromadorea; Rhabditida; Rhabditidae.
GUGGGUUUUUUCAAAAUUUUUUUAAUUAAAUAAAAAAAUUUGGAAAAAAGUUCCAG